GAUGAACGCUGGCGGCGUGCUUAACACAUGCAAGUCGAACGGAAAGGCCCAAGCUUGCUUGGGUACUCGAGUGGCGAACGGGUGAGUAACACGUGGGUGAUCUGCCCUGCACUUCGGGAUAAGCCUGGGAAACUGGGUCUAAUACCGGAUAGGACCACAUUUUGGAUGGUGUGGUGGAAAGUUUUUCGGUGUGGGAUGAGCUCGCGGCCUAUCAGCUUGUUGGUGGGGUAAUGGCCUACCAAGGCGUCGACGGGUAGCCGGCCUGAGAGGGUGUACGGCCACAUUGGGACUGAGAUACGGGCCAGACUCCUACGGGAGGCAGCAGUGGGGAAUAUUGCACAAUGGGCGCAAGCCUGAUGCAGCGACGCCGCGUGGGGGAUGACGGCCUUCGGGUUGUAAACUCCUUUCGCUAGGGACGAAGCGUUUUUGUGACGGUACCUGGAGAAGAAGCACCGGCUAACUACGUG
RNAcentral lists this ribosomal RNA (467 nucleotides) under uncultured bacterium. Its description in RNAcentral is "partial 16S ribosomal RNA". It matches the Rfam family "Bacterial small subunit ribosomal RNA", at positions 28 to 507 of the family's 1533-position model. The record is from RNAcentral.